This is a long non-coding RNA of Stylophora pistillata, 1186 nucleotides long. NCBI's taxonomy places the organism in Eukaryota, Metazoa, Cnidaria, Anthozoa, Scleractinia, Pocilloporidae. The record is from RefSeq and is a predicted model, not a curated record.
CCGCACGUAAGACGCAGGCGCUCUCGAUUAUUUUCGCGAUUCAGGUAGAUGUGGAUGAUUUCCACCAUGUUUCCUUUUCGUUUAUAACUGGUUCUUCAUGGGUUGUGGUAGUUCUUCGUCGGGUGCUGUGAUAACAACUCAGCAAUCGACCGUGGUCACACCACAGUAUAAUGGAACUCAAACUGUAGCGCAAUAUCCAUCAUCUUACCCACAACAAGCAGUCUAACCCCAACAACGUGGACCACCACCACCUUACUACAGCCAGCGUUAUCCUGGUCAGCCUGUGGGAUAUGGAACCCCUGGGGUCAUUCAGCAAUCCCAGACAGUUGUGGUCCAGGACAGAGAUAGAGGUGGAGACCUCUUGGUUGGAAUGGCAGCUGGUGCAGUAAUGGCAAAUGCUCUACACGGACCUCAUUAUUACGGGCAUGGGUCACAAAUCCACAUACAUGAUCAUGACCACUUCCAUAGCGGGGGAGAUCACUUUCAUGAGCACCAUCACUAUGGAGGUCCUGAGUAUCAUGAACAUUAUGGUGACACGGGUGGGUUUGAUGGUGGUGGUGGAUUUGAUGAUGGUGGUGGAUUUGAUGGGGGAGGCUUUGAUGAUGGAGGAGGGUUUGAUUAAACUAAAGUUACAUGUUCUAGAUGAAUGUAAAGACUGCACAAAUACAAAAAGUAGCCAGUAGAUAUUGGGAUUUCUAUCAGUCAGCCAACAAGGGGCAAAAUUCACUGUAUAAAUUAUAUCUAACCAUGUUGCCCCCCUUAUGAAAUUAAGAACACUGGAAUAAAAAUUGCACUUUCCUUAGCUGCAAACUUAUUGAAACCACUCAGAGAAAUAGCCUGAAAUAAGACAAGGUGCUAGCUUUGAAUGAAAGAUGACUAACUAAAUGCCCUAGACAUGUACUAGUAACUUUUGUCAAUAAGCCAUGCUAUAACUACUGGAAGCUUAUAACCUAGCUGGCUCAUAUGCUUCUGUUACUACUUAAACUAUUUGUAUGGAUUAUCUGAGGUAUCCUUUUAGAACAGAGUAGAGGUCUUUUCUUUUGCAAAAAUGGUCUCUGCUUUCUCAGGCUUCAUUUAAGUUUUUGUGUUCGUAAAUCAUUUUAAGUUCUUUUAUCCUACAUAUAUGUAAAAAGGCUGAUAGUUUCUAAAGAAACUGUUUGGGGCUGCAUCGGUAGGGGUAACGAAA